RNAcentral lists this ribosomal RNA (253 nucleotides) under uncultured bacterium. RNAcentral describes it as "partial 16S ribosomal RNA". It matches the Rfam family "Bacterial small subunit ribosomal RNA", at positions 524 to 776 of the family's 1533-position model. The record is from RNAcentral.
UACGAAGGGGGCUAGCGUUGCUCGGAAUCACUGGGCGUAAAGGGUGCGUAGGCGGGUCUUUAAGUCAGGGGUGAAAUCCUGGAGCUCAACUCCAGAACUGCCUUUGAUACUGAAGAUCUUGAGUUCGGGAGAGGUGAGUGGAACUGCGAGUGUAGAGGUGAAAUUCGUAGAUAUUCGCAAGAACACCAGUGGCGAAGGCGGCUCACUGGCCCGAUACUGACGCUAAGACGCGAAAGCGUGGGGAGCAAACAGG